Molecule: ribosomal RNA, 323 nt
Filed under: uncultured eukaryote
Lineage: Eukaryota
Description: partial 18S ribosomal RNA
Rfam family: Eukaryotic small subunit ribosomal RNA
Source: RNAcentral
CCCUUAGAUGUCCUGGGCUGCACGCGCGCUACACUGACACAUGCAACGAGUUUUUCCUUACCUGAAAGGGUUGGGUAAUCUCCUUGAAAGUGUGUCGUGAUGGGGAUAGAUUAUUGCAAUUAUUACUCUUGAACGAGGAAUUCCUAGUAAGCACAAGUCAGCAGCUUGUGCUGAUUACGUCCCUGCCCUUUGUACACACCGCCCGUCGCUCCUACCGAGGGGGUGAUCCGGUGAAUGAUUCGGACUCUGGUGCUUCUAGCUGCUAGAUGCGCCGGAGGAAGUUUUGUGAACCUUAUCACUUGGAGGAAGGAGAAGUCGUAACA